AUUGAACGCUGGCGGCAGGCCUAACACAUGCAAGUCGAGCGGAUGAGUGGAGCUUGCUCCAUGAUUCAGCGGCGGACGGGUGAGUAAUGCCUAGGAAUCUGCCUGGUAGUGGGGGACAACGUUUCGAAAGGAACGCUAAUUACCGCAUACGUCCUACGGGAGAAAGCAGGGGACCUUCGGGCCUUGCGCUAUCAGAUGAGCCUAGGUCGGAUUAGCUAGUAGGUGAGGUAAUGGCUCACCUAGGCGACGAUCCGUAACUGGUCUGAGAGGAUGAUCAGUCACACUGGAACUGAGACACGGUCCAGACUCCUACGGGAGGCAGCAGUGGGGAAUAUUGGACAAUGGGCGAAAGCCUGAUCCAGCCAUGCCGCGUGUGUGAAGAAGGUCUUCGGAUUGUAAAGCACUUAAGUUGGGAGGAAGGGCAGUAAGUUAAUACCUUGCUUGUUUGACGUUACCAACAGAAUAAGCACCGG
This 473-nucleotide ribosomal RNA is filed under the name uncultured bacterium. Its description in RNAcentral is "bacterial SSU rRNA". It matches the Rfam family "Bacterial small subunit ribosomal RNA", at positions 30 to 496 of the family's 1533-position model. The record is from RNAcentral.